UACAGAGGGUGCGAACGUUGCUCGGAAUUACUGGGCGUAAAGCGCAUGUAGGCGGAUCCAUAAGUCGGGCGUGAAAUCCCCAGGCUCAACCUGGGAACUGCGCUCGAAACUGUGGGUCUUGAGUGUCGGGAGAGGAUGGCGGAAUUCCUGGUGUAGAGGUGAAAUUCGUAGGAUAUCAGGAGGAACACCGGUGGCGAAGGCGGCCAUCUGGACGACGAACUGACGCAUGA
Molecule: ribosomal RNA, 230 nt
Filed under: uncultured bacterium
Lineage: Bacteria
Description: partial 16S ribosomal RNA
Rfam family: Bacterial small subunit ribosomal RNA
Source: RNAcentral